Molecule: long non-coding RNA, 1800 nt
Organism: Triticum dicoccoides
Lineage: Eukaryota; Viridiplantae; Streptophyta; Magnoliopsida; Poales; Poaceae
Exons: 4
Source: RefSeq, a predicted model, not a curated record
UCCAUUCCUUACCCGCACCGCACGCGGCCCGAAUCAAAGCCUUUCCCCUUCUCCUCUUCUCUGGCCAUCCGCCGCCUCCUUCUCAUCCCAGCGACGACGGCGGCCGAUCUACCUCGACCUCCACCUCCACCUCCACGCAUCCAUGGAGGAGGCAUCCAACCCUAGCCCCAUUGGGUCACCGGCGCUGGAUCCUCCGUUGUGCGGCCGGAAGGAGCAGCUGCUGGCACGGGACGUUGCUCGGCGACGAGGCGUGCCGGCGAAACACGGGCCACCAGGGCAGCAACCACGACGCCCUCCCUCUCUACUCGACCUUGAUGAAGAUACGCUGUACCCGUCAGGGUCCUGACUGAUCGAGUGACAAGUAGGAUUUGGGUGGAUUCAGAUAAAGAACAGCAGCGGCAGGAGAGUUUUCAGUUUUAGUUUCAGACAAGGUGCAGAACUCCAUGACUAGUCAAUGAUCUAGCAGCUGUUCUCCUCCCAGGCGAUGGCAGUGAGUUAACCGUUCCGCAGCCGCAUCUCCUCCAGAUAACUACUCGGGUCUCCUGGCCAUCGUUCUGAGGCCACACUGUGAUCCUACUUUCUAGCGUAUGGUUUGGUUUGUGGGGUUAUCUUCUGCCCAUACAUACCUUUUGUGAUAGCGGUUGCAACAAUAAUGUCUCCUUGUGGUGUUUGCCCAGCCAUUUGAACAGUGCCCUCUUUUUUUCAUGAUUUUUUAUUCCAUGCCUAAGCAGCUCAAUGAGCUCUACAUUACUGGAAGUACUGACAUAGUCCUAACAUGCAAUUCUAAUUUGCCAAGAACCGUUUGAGGACACAUUCUAGAAUGAAUGGCAACUUAAAUAUUUGUCUUACCUUAUUUAUUCCUUCCAUUGGCAUGUAAUUAGUAGGAACAUUAGAUUUUCACUAAGCAUAUCAUCUGAUUGUAACUUGCCAAAGAGCAUAUUUAAUUCCUUCAUUGUCCAUGGUAUUAACUUAAAUCUCUGUAACCCUCAAAAGAAAAAAAAAACUUAAAUCUCUGUUCUCUGUAACACUUGCUGAACAUUGGACAAAUGUCUUGUUGUCGACUAUGGUCUCUUUUCACCAAGUGCUGCUUUUUUCUGCAAAUGAUCUCUUGCAUGCAAAUGGUCACUGUUAGAUGAUAAAUCCUGAUGUAUCGGUGCUUUAUUGGGGCCUAAAACAACGUGAAUUCUUUAUCUGUGAUGUUACGUGAUGCCAACAUGGCAACCUAAGUGCUUCUUGUGAUUGUCUUACAAUAAUCAGUGUCACCCUUCUAGUGGAUUUAGCCAUGAAGUGCUGAUUUAGCUGUAGUUUUUAUACAUUGGUUAUUUCAUCCCUUGGGUUCUUGUAUGUGUGGAACUCCAGGACUUGUCGAUGAGCAUCUAGCAGCAGUUCUCCCCCAUGUGAUGGCAGUGAGUUCACCUUGCCGCAACCACCUCUCCUUCGUCUGUGAUUCAGGAGGACUGGAUAGAAGGAGGAGGUAUAGAAAUCUCAGUCAAAGGGCCCUGCUUAUUUUCCAUUCAGCUUUUGUUGAGUGGCAGCCAAUGCUGGUCUCGUCUUGAAGAGACACUCAAGUAUCUUAACUUUGGAGUAUAUUGUGUGCGUUCACUUAAUCAGUGUAGGUCCAUGACAAGGAGAUUGGCUGAAUCCUCCUUCCUUAUUCUGAAUGUUAGCUCGUUCAAUGAUUGAAUAUAUAACUUGUAUUGGUUGUAUGGGGUUCUGUAUCAAAACUAGAAGUCCCAUCCUUGCUUGAUUACCUGGAAUAUACAAAGUGUUUAUUUUGUUAUAGUAACUAUUGCUCUCUCA